GUGGAUUAGGGUUUGUCGCAGUUCCUCUUCAAGCUCCGGCCUCUCGCUGUCCUACUCGCGCAACCGAGCUCUGGAAUCAUCAACGUCGCGGAUUCGUACAAACAGAGGCUGUGGUGAAGCUGAAAAUAUUGCUGUGUAGCGAUAGCCUUGAGAGAAGGGGCAUGGUAGAUGCUGGGACGAGCGAUCGUGGUCUGUGAGCGUAGGCUUUGAGUCCACCAGGUUGUACAGAUGGGUACCAAUCCCAAAACAACCCUCUACGUCGGUGGUUUGGAGGAAAACGUAACGGAGCAAGUCGUGCAUGCAGCUUUCAUCCCCUUCGGUGAUGUCAAGGAUAUCUCAAUGCCGUUAGACCAGGCAACACAGAAGCACCGUGGUUUUGCUUUUAUCACUUAUUUUGAGAAAGAAGAUGCAGCAGCUGCAAUGGACAACAUGCACAAUGGUGAAUUGUACGGUCGUGUUCUCACCGUCAAUUAUGCACAGCCACAGAAAAUAAAGGGAGGAGAACAAGGGUGGGCCUCUCAAGCAGUGUGGGCGGACGCCGACACAUGGUUUGAGCGACAACAGCAAGAGGAAGAGAUGAAGCGUCUGAACGCGGAGCAUCAGGCGACUGUGAGUGCUGCCGAAGAAGCGGAUAGGAAGAAAUUGCAAGAGGUUCGAGAAGGUGAAACUGAAGCCGACGAUGCCACGGAUGAUCCUAUGGCUGCAGCCGAAGCCGAAGCUCUUAAAUCCACGUAGAAGGCUGAUUCUUUUGAUUUUGAUUUAAUUAUUUUGGAUUCAUUGUACAUCCUGAACAAUAGCUGGCGAAUGGGGAUGUUUAUGUUUAACUUUUGGGAAGUUUCAAUGCACUGGCUUUUUGGAUAGGAGGGGAGCUGAAACUGCGUACAACAUGUAGAAAUAAUCAUUUGAAGAAGAAGUACUAUCUCGUCCUCGAUAGCAGUCAGGAAACUAUUUGAGUUUUACAACCCGCUAUGUUCAAGUUUUACUUGGAUAUGAAAUUGGAGAACCUUGAUGUUGAAGGCAAACCCUUUUGUUGCAACUACAAUAGCAUUGAUGGUUUGGUCCUUGGUCAUUAGAAGCAAUUCAUAUUUGUUUUUGUAGGUUCAAGAAUAACCUCUCACCUCUCCUUUGUGCUGGUCUAUAUCGAGGUCUUAGCAAGCUUUUGUUCAAGCCCUUGUGUGUGGGUUAGCCCCCAUGGGCGAGGCUUUAGUCCUUUUCCUAAUUGGUAGAGGCCUAGUACAUAGCUUUCUUCUAUGCUUCUCGAUGCAUCUCUGAUUCAUCUUUUGUUUCUUGGAGGUUUAAAUUACACAAUGCUAUUUUUUGGUUG
Molecule: non-coding RNA, 1324 nt
Organism: Physcomitrium patens
Lineage: Eukaryota; Viridiplantae; Streptophyta; Bryopsida; Funariales; Funariaceae
Source: RefSeq, a predicted model, not a curated record